GCAGUUGAGCGCUGAGGUUGGUACUUGUACCAACUGGAUGAGCAGCGAACGGGUGAGUAACGCGUGGGGAAUCUGCCUUUGAGCGGGGGACAACAUUUGGAAACGAAUGCUAAUACCGCAUAAAAACUUUAAACACAAGUUUUAAGUUUGAAAGAUGCAAUUGCAUCACUCAAAGAUGAUCCCGCGUUGUAUUAGCUAGUUGGUGAGGUAAAGGCUCACCAAGGCGAUGAUACAUAGCCGACCUGAGAGGGUGAUCGGCCACAUUGGG
RNAcentral lists this ribosomal RNA (268 nucleotides) under Lactococcus lactis. Its description in RNAcentral is "partial 16S ribosomal RNA". It matches the Rfam family "Bacterial small subunit ribosomal RNA", at positions 60 to 317 of the family's 1533-position model. Lineage: Bacteria; Bacillati; Bacillota; Bacilli; Lactobacillales; Streptococcaceae. The record is from RNAcentral.